This 100-nucleotide microRNA precursor is filed under the name Marmota monax (woodchuck). The record is from RNAcentral. Lineage: Eukaryota; Metazoa; Chordata; Mammalia; Rodentia; Sciuridae.
AGUGAAUUUGCUGAAUCACAUGGUAGAUGUAUGUUUAACUUUUAAAAAACUAUCAGACUGUUUCCAAAGUGACUGAAUCAUUUUACUUUUUGCCAGCAGU